CAGCCCACUAGCUAGCUCAGACCCUAAAAUGAAACAACCAACUAUAAAUAAACCCUAACUAAACGUAAAACCCCUAAAACAAACCAUUUUUCCCCCUAAGUACGGGCGACAGAAAAGGACAUAUUGAAGCAACAGUAAAAGUACCGCAAGGGAACGCUGAAAGAGAAAUGAAAAAAAUCAGUUAAGCGAAGAGAAGCAGAGACAAACCCUCGUACCUUUUGCAUCAUGAUUUAGCAAGAAACCAUCAAGCGAAAAGCAUUUUAGUUUGAUUCCCCGAAACCAAGUGAGCUACUCCAAGACAGCCUCUAAGGGCACACCCGUCUCUGUGGCAAAAGAGUGGGAAGAUCUUUGAGUAGAGGUGACAGACCUACCGAACUUGGUUAUAGCUGGUUGCUCAGGAGAUGAAUAGGAGUUCAGCCUUUUACCCUCUUUCUCCAAAUGCUGGUUACACCCACUAAGCAACAAAGUAGGCUAAAAGAGUUAAUCAAAGGGGGUACAGCCCCUUUGAACAAAGACACAACUUUUACAGAAGGGUUAAGAUCACAACAACUUUCAAGGGACCAUGUUCUAGUUGGCCUAAGAGCAGCCACCAACACAGAAAGCGUUAUAGCUCAGACACUUCCCCGCCCCAAUUAUCCAGACCAUAUAAUCUUACCCCCCUAAGCAUACUGAGCCCUCCAAUACUUGUAUAGGAGAGACUAUGCUAAUAUGAGUAAUAAGAGACCAUGAAUCUCUCCCUGCACAAGUGUACAUCGGAACGAACCAACACCGAAAAUUAACGGCCCCAAAAGAGGGUACUGAAAUAUUAUGACUAACCCACUAGGAAACCAUCCAGCCCCCCCCCCCCACCGUUGACCUUACACCAGAGUGCACACAAGGAAAGACUAAAAGAAAAAGAAGGAACUCGGCA
This 910-nucleotide ribosomal RNA is filed under the name Ostorhinchus ventrifasciatus. RNAcentral describes it as "partial 16S rRNA". The stretch from base 199 to 708 matches the Rfam family "Bacterial large subunit ribosomal RNA", at positions 573 to 1301 of the family's 2925-position model. The record is from RNAcentral. Lineage: Eukaryota; Metazoa; Chordata; Actinopteri; Kurtiformes; Apogonidae.